GAAAGAGAGAAAGAAAGAAAAGGAGGAGAUAAGAAGAAAUCUUUAUCUUCAAAAAAGCUGGCAUUCUAUGGAUCAAGACAACAUGCCUUUAGAGGUUACAAAGCACUUUCCUGAAGAAAACUCUGUGAAGCGGCUCCCUGGCAACAUAUUUCCUGCCUGCAUCAGUUUUUCCCACUUUUUGUGGUUCGAUGACUUUCUUUUGGGAAAAAAAUAAAAAGAAAGAACUUUCCACCUCUGAUUUAGCAGCAGGACAAAUCUUCCCACCCCACACCAUCUUCUAUGGAAACCACAGAAGUAUUAUAAAAGUGAAGGUUGAGGCAGUAUUGGAACUCAUGAUUCAUCAGUAUUUGAAAACUAAAAAAAAAAAAAAAAAAGAUUUUUCUUUUGACUUAUCCUAGGACCUCAGCAGGGUAAGAAGCAAAUUAAACUGACAAUGGAACAAAAUUUGCCUAGAUAUGCUUUUAGAAUGUGGCUUUAAUUGCUGUAUUUGCAUAUUCUGAUUAAAUAAUCCAAACUGUGAAUUAAAUGUAAUAUGGCCCAAAAUGUCUUCUCUCUCACCCCAAAUCUAGGUCCCAUUGUUUGCCUGAAAUAGUGAUGCUAAUAGAAUCAAA
Vombatus ursinus (common wombat) is the source of this 611-nucleotide long non-coding RNA. RefSeq lists it as uncharacterized. The record is from RefSeq and is a predicted model, not a curated record. Lineage: Eukaryota; Metazoa; Chordata; Mammalia; Diprotodontia; Vombatidae. The transcript has 3 exons.